This 658-nucleotide ribosomal RNA is filed under the name uncultured bacterium. RNAcentral describes it as "bacterial SSU rRNA". It matches the Rfam family "Bacterial small subunit ribosomal RNA", at positions 9 to 676 of the family's 1533-position model. The record is from RNAcentral.
GAGUUUGAUCAUGGCUCAGGAUGAACGCUGGCGGCGUGCUUAACACAUGCAAGUCGAACGAUGACUUUUGUGCUUGCACAAGAUGAUUAGUGGCGAACGGGUGAGUAACACGUGAGUAACCUGCCCUUGACUCUGGGAUAAGCCUGGGAAACUGGGUCUAAUACUGGAUAUGCACCGUGGACCGCAUGGUUCUUGGUGGAAAGAUUUAUUGGUCAGGGAUGGACUCGCGGCCUAUCAGCUUGUUGGUGAGGUAAUGGCUCACCAAGGCGACGACGGGUAGCCGGCCUGAGAGGGUGACCGGCCACACUGGGACUGAGACACGGCCCAGACUCCUACGGGAGGCAGCAGUGGGGAAUAUUGCACAAUGGGCGAAAGCCUGAUGCAGCGACGCCGCGUGAGGGAUGACGGCCUUCGGGUUGUAAACCUCUUUCAGUAGGGAAGAAGCGAAAGUGACGGUACCUGCAGAAGAAGCGCCGGCUAACUACGUGCCAGCAGCCGCGGUAAUACGUAGGGCGCAAGCGUUAUCCGGAAUUAUUGGGCGUAAAGAGCUCGUAGGCGGUUGUCGCGUCUAUCGUGAAAGUCCGAGGCUUCAACCUCGGAUCUGCGGUGGGUACGGGCAGACUAGAGUGAUGUAGGGGAGACUGGGAUUCCUGGGUGU